Molecule: ribosomal RNA, 497 nt
Filed under: uncultured bacterium
Lineage: Bacteria
Description: partial 16S ribosomal RNA
Rfam family: Bacterial small subunit ribosomal RNA
Source: RNAcentral
GAUGAACGCUGGCGGCGUGCCUAAUACAUGCAAGUCGAGCGAACGGACGAGAAGCUUGCUUCACUGAUGUUAGCGGCGGACGGGUGAGUAACACGUGGAUAACCUACCUAUAAGACUGGGAUAACUUCGGGAAACCGGAGCUAAUACCGGAUAAUAUUUUGAACCGCAUGGUUCAAAAGUGAAAGACGGUCUUGCUGUCACUUAUAGAUGGAUCCGCGCUGCAUUAGCUAGUUGGUAAGGUAACGGCUUACCAAGGCAACGAUGCAUAGCCGACCUGAGAGGGUGAUCGGCCACACUGGAACUGAGACACGGUCCAGACUCCUACGGGAGGCAGCAGUAGAGAAUCUUCCGCAAUGGGCGAAAGCCUGACGGAGCAACGCCGCGUGAGUGAUGAAGGUCUUCGGAUCGUAAAACUCUGUUAUUAGGGAAGAACAUAUGUGUAAGUAACUGUGCACAUCUUGACGGUACCUAAUCAGAAAGCCACGGCUAACUACGUG